This 253-nucleotide ribosomal RNA is filed under the name uncultured bacterium. RNAcentral describes it as "partial 16S ribosomal RNA". It matches the Rfam family "Bacterial small subunit ribosomal RNA", at positions 524 to 776 of the family's 1533-position model. The record is from RNAcentral.
UACGGAGGGGGUUAGCGUUGUUCGGAAUUAUUGGGCGUAAAGCGCGCGUAGGCGGUUACUCAAGUCGGAUGUGAAAGCCCUCGGCUUAACUGAGGAAGUGCACCCGAAACUGAGUAGCUAGAGUACCAAAGAGGGUCGCGGAAUUCCCGGUGUAGAGGUGAAAUUCGUAGAUAUUCGGAAGAACACCAGUGGCGAAGGCGGCUCACUGGCCCGUUACCGACGCUCAGGCGCGACAGCGUGGGGAGCAAACAGG